This 493-nucleotide ribosomal RNA is filed under the name uncultured bacterium. Its description in RNAcentral is "partial 16S ribosomal RNA". It matches the Rfam family "Bacterial small subunit ribosomal RNA", at positions 29 to 523 of the family's 1533-position model. The record is from RNAcentral.
AUUGAACGCUGGCGGCAUGCUUUACACAUGCAAGUCGAACGGUAACAGGUUAAGCUGACGAGUGGCGAACGGGUGAGUAAUGCAUCGGAACGUGCCCGGUCGUGGGGGAUAACGCAGCGAAAGCUGCGCUAAUACCGCAUACGAUCUAAGGAUGAAAGCGGGGGACCGCAAGGCCUCAUGCUAUAGGAGCGGCCGAUGUCUGAUUAGCUAGUUGGUGGGGUAAAGGCCUACCAAGGCGACGAUCAGUAGCUGGUCUGAGAGGACGAUCAGCCACACUGGGACUGAGACAAGGCCGAGACUCCUACGGGAGGGAGCAGUGGGGAAUUUUGGACAAUGGGCGAAAGCCUGAUGCAGCCAUGCCGGGUGUAUGAAGAAGGCCUUCGGGUUGUAAAGUACUUUCAGCGGGGAGGAAGGCGAUACGGUUAAUAACCGUGUUGAUUGACGUUACCCGCAGAAGAAGCACCGGCUAACUCCGUGCCAGCAGCCGCCGUAA